Molecule: unclassified non-coding RNA, 348 nt
Filed under: soil metagenome
Description: partial contains 5.8S ribosomal RNA, internal transcribed spacer 2, and large subunit ribosomal RNA
Rfam family: 5.8S ribosomal RNA (bases 1-120)
Source: RNAcentral
GAUGAAGAACGUAGCGAAAUGCGAUACUUGGUGUGAAUUGCAGAAUUCAGUGAAUCAUCGAGUCUUUGAACGCACAUUGCGCCCCCUGGUAUUCCGGGGGGCAUGCCUGUCCGAGCGUCAUUGCCGCCCUCAAGCACGGCUUGUGUGUUGGGCCCCCGCCCCCCGGCUUCGGGGGGCGGGCCCGAAAGGCAGCGGCGGCACCGCGUCCGGUCCUCGAGCGUAUGGGGCUUCGUCACCCGCUCUGUAGGCCCGGCCGGCGCCCGCCGGCGACCCCAAUCAAUCUUUCCAGGUUGACCUCGGAUCAGGUAGGGAUACCCGCUGAACUUAAGCAUAUCAAUAAGCGGAGGA